GGGUGAGUAACGCGUGGGUAACCUGCCUUAUACAGGGGGAUAACAGUCAGAAAUGGCUGCUAAUACCGCAUAAGCGCACAGAGCUGCAUGGCUCAGUGUGAAAAACUCCGGUGGUAUAAGAUGGACCCGCGUUGGAUUAGCUGUUGGUGGGGUAACGGCCCACCAAGGCGACGAUCCAUAGCCGGCCUGAGAGGGUGAACGGCCACAUUGGGACUGAGACACGGCCCAG
RNAcentral lists this ribosomal RNA (229 nucleotides) under uncultured Bacillota bacterium. RNAcentral's name for it is "uncultured Firmicutes bacterium partial 16S ribosomal RNA". It matches the Rfam family "Bacterial small subunit ribosomal RNA", at positions 104 to 334 of the family's 1533-position model. Lineage: Bacteria; Bacillati; Bacillota. The record is from RNAcentral.